CGCCCCCCGCCCCUCCGCGAGCCGUGACAGCGCAGCCCGGGAGCCUCUCGAGGACGCGGCCCCUACGGCUCGAGAGCGCGCCGGACGGGCGGACGGGUGGGGGCUGCCCCGGGCGCGGCACCGCUUCCUGCGCCCGACCCCCCCCCGGGUUCUGCUGCGCCGCCGCUGCGUUGCGCAUCCUCCGCUUUCCCCGAGGCUCCGCCGCGCGCAGCGCUCGGUUCUCGGAGGGAGCGGAGGGGCUGCGCGUGGGGCGGGGGGUCCGAGCGGCGCUUCCCCGCGCGGUGGGACCCGCGGUGCGGCGUUCCGAUACGUGGCGUCCCGCCGCUUGUGCCUCUGCACAUGGAGGGGUGGGCAGCGCCGCGCCCCGCCGAGCGCUUAUGGGAUCGCAGCGGGUAGAAGAGACUUUCGAGAAGUUCCCUGUGGUUUUCUGUUAGCGAAACCGUCGCUGAAAUUCGGAGUUUCACUCGGUGCUCGCUGGUCAGCUGCAUCGAUGCAUCUGAAUAGCAAAUGACGGGGUUGUUUCGGGAAGGCGGUUUUGAGGUCGUUAAAAGGGACUGUGUUGUUGUUAGUUUUUGGUGGUUUUUUUUUUUUUUUUCUUUUUCUUUUUCCUGCUGAUUUUGAUUCGUGUCUUUCACUUUUCCCCUUCAAUCGCUUUGUGCUGAGAGUGGCCAUGCAGUCAGGCCGCACACGGGGGUGUGCUGCCCCUUCGAAGCGAUUUGAUCUGAACGAUCCUCACUCGCCCUGAUCCUCCCAGUGCUGGGAGCUGGGAGAAUUGCUGUCCCCAGGACUCAGACCAUUGUCUGAUCGGUGUCUGGAUGGUCAGCUGAAUGCACAGGGUCACUGUUCCCAUACCUGUUCCAGAAAUGUGGAGGUGUGGCUCUGAGGGACAUAGUGGGCAUGGUGCUGAUGGGUCAGUGGUUACACUAUUGUGAUAGAACGAUUCUGUGAUCCUACACCAUCUCUGUGUUCCUUUCAGUGCAACACAUGCAUCAUGCAAGAGGCCUGCUAAGGCUGUGGGCAGUGUUUGUUUGCAGUUGUUCAGAGCUGUAGGGUCCUUGUAGUGCAGGAUCCAAUGGUUUCCAGCAGCCCCAGUUCCAGGGGUGUGCUCAGGUGUAGGCAUGACACCCAUGUGGCUCUCGGGUCUGCAGCCAGCAUGUUACUGAGGAACCCAACUGCUCUGCAGUAUUGCAUUUAUGAUUGCUUCUUUCAUGUUCUGGUUCUGGCAGCAAAUCACGUUUGUAAAACUGCCCUGCUGUGCCUCAUAUUGGUCGGAGUUCUGUGUUCUGAUAAUCUGCUCCGUCUCUUUGAUCAGCAUGGCACUGAAUGGUGUCCUGUCCACAGGCAUUUCUCAUCUUCUUGGCAUCCCCAGCUUCCCAAAGCCGUAGUGCACUGCUCUGACGUGAGCUGGUGGCUUUGUGGCCUCAUUCCUCCAGCACCACCUUCUUGGAUUUCCUCUUCUUUCUCUUCUCUCCUUCACUGGACAACAUGUGAUGAAUCAUGCAGGGUAAGUGUGACCGAGCUGCUCGGCCUUUCUGAGCAGCCAGAGACACACUGCUGCCAGUGGCCUGGGGGCUUCUCUCUGAUGAUGCUCAGGAUGAGAACCCAACAGUCCCUGCUGUCUGGCCACCGGGCAAACGCAUGACCUGAAUGAAGUGUAAUCUCUGAGAGAGCCUGCUGAAUUUGAUACGCCUUUAUGGUUCACUUCCCAUUAUUUGUAACUUGAAAGCAUAAACCAGGGCUGGGAAAGUAAUGCUGUAAGUCAAAUUUGGAUUAGACGUUCCCAAAGUGUUUUGGAUUUAUGCUGCAGCUGAGAGCUGCCUGUGAGAAGCCGAAAGGCAAAAGGAAAUCCGUCUCUGUUCUGGAGGUGAUUGUUCCCCCAAACUGGUGUGUUCUUCAUCAGAGUGUUCUUUAUCCAGAAUAACAUUAUUUCAAAAAGAAUAUAAAUGCUGUUCAGUAGGACUAGUCUGUGUGGGCUGACAUGCCUUCAAAAAAAGCUAAAUGAUUUCUUGUCUUACCUUGAGGCCUUUGUUUCAGUGCUGGUGCUGUUGUCAUGUAGGAUGGAGCGAGGAAGGGGCCAGCUGCUUUGUCACCUCGCAGAAGAGCUCAUCCAGAAGCAGCGCUUGCUUAUCUUUUGGUGCCAGAUGCCUGCAGAGCAGGCUCUCGCAGGCAGGCCUCUUGGUGUCUCAGGGAUGUCGUUUUCAAGUCCUGCCUGGCCCAGAGCACGUGUUGUUUACAGAGCUGUUUUUUGCCUCCAGCUGUCACCUGGGCCCUUUCUGACCACAAUUAGAUACCAGGUGUGGUUGGCAGAGGGGUGGCAGGGAAAGAGGUGUCACUUGCAGCCCUGGGAGCAGAGACAACCCAGGAGCCCCGAGCGUGCCGUGCCGUAGAGCAACGUCUUGCUCCAUGGCUUUCUGCCCCUGAUGUAAGUUUAGAAGACACGACAGCACCACGCGGAAGCAAUUAUGCAGUAUUGACGACAGAGAGACAGAAAUUCCAGCUGUUGCAGUCAGCAUUCUGGGCAAAAAUAAGGGUGCUUCCCACCAUCAGCAGGGCACCUCUGUGAGCAGCAGGGCCAGGGGGAAGGAGCGUGGGAGCAGCUGCUGGCCCUGGGAGCAGCCGGAUUGCAGCACAGCCUGCUGCUGCAAGCGGUGCGUCAGCCCUGUGUCUGUGGGUGAUGCAGAUAGAGGAUGCCAGCAGAACCCCUUCCACAGCUGAGUGUGGAAGCCUGUGGGUGGAUAUUCUGCAUCUCCAGGUGCCGGCAGUGCCAGUUGCCACGCAGCAAGCCUGGCUAGGCUCCAUCCGGCAUGCACUGAUGCCUGGCUCCCACCAGCUGGGGCAACAGAGGCAGCCAGGGAAGCUCCGUGUGGAGCAGGGCUGUGCCUCUGAGCCAGCAUGGAGCAGUUGGAUGUCCUUAGCCUGGUGUCGCUUUGGGGAAUGGUUUGGAUUGUUUCUUAGGCUGGAAAGGUCUUGGGAGGGUGGUCCUCCUCAUUCUGGGGACGUGGCACAGCAACUGGGGUGCGCAGGCGAGGUGAGGAGACUUUCCAUUUUGUGCAUCCUGUGUUUUGUAACGUGCUCAUUUCCCUGCCAGCACAGAUCUGGGGCAAGAGUAAGUUUUCUUGGAAACAGGGCCAAGUUAUGCUUGGAAAGAGGCAGAGACUUGCAGCUUCCCAAGCUACAUUUGGAUCAAGCUCGCCUGAGUCCUCAGUUCCUGGCCCAGCCUGGAGCUCCAAGGCUUUGUGGGUUGGAGGGGCUUUGUGGUCCUCUAGGCAGCCACCUCCUCCUCAGUGCAGAGAGAAGUGGCCGCUGGAGCUGCAGCAACUUUUCCAGCUGCCUCCCAGCAAUGCUUGUUCUCCAGAGCUCAUGGCAGCCCCAGGCCCUGCAGCUGUCUGCUCCUCUCAUCUCACCUUGCCCUGCCAGCCAGCCUGCCUUCCUCCCUCCUUGGGGCUCCAGAUGCAGCCAGGCUGAAGGGCGCAGGGCAGGGCUACAGGGCUGGGACAGGAGCUGCUGCUGGCCCCAUCUGUCAGGGAGGUCUCUGGUCCGUCUGUCUGUGCUCAUGCGUCUUGCAUCAGGGUGGGGUUUUCCUGGCAGAGGCAGAUCAGUUUUUUUUUUUUUCCUGAUUGAGGCAGCCGGGGAAGUCUCUCUGCUUGUUUGUUUAGAGUUUGCAGUUCAAGGGUCUGGAAUUUAAUUUUGCAGUGGCAGCCCGCAGCGAGUGCCAGUGCGAGUGAGGCCGAUCGCGUGCGGGCUGCCCUGCUCAGGGGAGGGGUGCACAGCCACUGCACGGAGUGUGUGCUGGGUUGUGGCCAUCGCUGAGGACUUUGCUUCUCUUCCCCUGGUGGAAAAGGCAAUAUUUUUCGUUAUUUAAAGACAUUACGCCAGUGCGAGACCUUGUGUCGGAGUAGGUGUCAUUUGUUGCUGGGUUCGUAACUUUUGCUCCGAAUAACUGUUGCACAGUUAGUUGGUCCUAUAAACCCGCUGCUGCCAACGUGCGUGGCAAUCCCUUGUAUUUUUCAGCCCAUUUCCUCCUGGGUGGACGGGUGAGGGCACGUGCUGAGGUUCCAGGCUCAGCUGGUGCUGAGGCACCAGCAGAGCUGACUUCUGCGAGGGGACACUCUGCGAGAAGAGGCUGGUUGAAGGAAGCAAAUCCUGCAGGUUGGGAAGCAGUUCUCACUUCCACCCCCCCCCCCUCCUCCCAGCACAUCUGCAUCUUCCCUGGCAGAAGGAGCAGGCUUGCACCCAUCCGUGGUCUGCUCCCCUGUGCUGUGGGACAGAGCCAGCGCCUGCCCUGUGGGUCUGGGGUCUGCAGUGCCCUCUGCUCCCCUGCCUGCGGCUGAGGCUUGGCCCAGCUUUCUGGGGUGGGGCUCAUUUUGUUUUUCCCAGCAAGGAAUGGGUUGGCGCGGUCAGCAGCUCUUCCCUUUUCUGUUCAGGCCCUGCAAAGAGGCUUUUUUGUUUCUCUGCGCGAGUGCUGCUUCCUUUUUCCAGCUUUCCUCCUGCACGGGCUCGCCUGCCCUGGCAGCACAUGCGUGCACGUGUCUCAGCAGCAGCAGAGCGCGCGCUGCUUUCCGCCGGGGUGACAGAAUCCUUCUCGCCCACCCACUGCGUGCAGCACGUUUCAAGCCUCCCUGCUAGGAACUUUUGUUUCCACUGUCUCUCCGAACUAAGCAUCUGAGAUCUGUGCCCACCCUGAAUUGCAUGGCUGAGCUAUGCUGGUUUUUUUUUUUUUCCGGACGAGCCAUUCGGCGCUGUCUGCAAACUGCAGGGCUGCUGCCCCCGUGCCCAUCCUGCUGCAUCCUGAGCCCUUUGGGGUUGCCUCCUCCUGCAGGCACCGGGGCAGCUCUGCAGGCUGUUGCUGCUCUAGUUUCCCCCACAUUUCUGGCACUCGUGGCCCGGGGAGAGAGGUUAGGACAGCUGUUAGACUGAUGACAGCAUUAAGUUGAGCGGGUCGUGGUCUUUUGGUGCAAGGGUCCUGUGGCAGCCCUGUGGGUUAGCAGGGUGAGGACUGUUGAGGAGUUGUACUGGCAGCCUGUACAGCUGCAGUUUUAGUGGUUGUGGCAAACGCGGCCAUGUAGUGGUGGGGAAUAUGGAGAUCAGUGAGGAUACGUUGUGUUGUCGAGGUGCACUUGACCGCUUUGUUCCUUGCAGCUUUUUGCAAGCCUCACCUUUUGCUUCAUUUGAAAACCUGCUUCCUGUUUGUAUGAACCACACUGGCUCCUCUGCUGCCUGUGCCUGCGCAGGGCUUUUCCUGUGCACCUUUUGUCUGAAGCUGAGCAGAAAUGUUUCAGUGAGAGACAUUGGGGCGGAGGGAAGUGGGGGAGGGACGGGAUGAUGGCAUAGCUGACUUCUUGUUUUGUUUUGUUUUUAUCUCCCUCUCUUGCCCAACCAUGGCUUCUUAAAUCCUCCUUUAACGAUCACUGAGCUGUUUGGAUGCUAAGUGAUGCUUCUGCAUCUUCUGCCAACUUCUGGCAGUUGCUUAUUCAAGUUUUCUAGGUGUUCUUUAGCUACAAAUGUACAGCAAGGCUGGAAAUGAGGGUGCUGUGAUGGAGCAGUGCAACUGUGAAUCCCAAAGAUGGCCACCUGCAAGCCCUGGGAUAUACAUGCUGCUGGGGUCGCAUGUCCACACUGCUCUGUCACACGUGUGUGCCCUUUGGCUGAGACUCAACUCCCAGCAGUGACUCCAUUGUCAGGCAGGCAUCUGGAAGGGAAGCAGAAGAGACUGAAGGAAGAGAACCAGGCUGGAAAGUUGACACGUUGGACCGCUGCGCGUGGAGUUCUCCCAGCCUGUGAACCUGGAGGAGGUGGCGAGCACAAACCCUGAGGUCAGGGAAGGAGGUCGU
Phasianus colchicus (ring-necked pheasant) is the source of this 5831-nucleotide non-coding RNA. NCBI's taxonomy places the organism in Eukaryota, Metazoa, Chordata, Aves, Galliformes, Phasianidae. The record is from RefSeq and is a predicted model, not a curated record.